RNAcentral lists this ribosomal RNA (370 nucleotides) under uncultured organism. Its description in RNAcentral is "bacterial SSU rRNA". It matches the Rfam family "Bacterial small subunit ribosomal RNA", at positions 526 to 896 of the family's 1533-position model. The record is from RNAcentral.
CGUAGGGUGCAAGCGUUAAUCGGAAUUACUGGGCGUAAAGCGUGCGCAGGCGGUUAUGUAAGACAGAUGUGAAAUGCCCGGGCUUAACCUGGGAACUGCAUUUGUGACUGCAUGGCUAGAGUGUGUCAGAGGGGGGUAGAAUUCCACGUGUAGCAGUGAAAUGCGUAGAUAUGUGGAGGAAUACCGAUGGCGAAGGCAGCCCCCUGGGAUAACACUGACGCUCAUGCACGAAAGCGUGGGGAGCAAACAGGAUUAGAUACCCUGGUAGUCCACGCCCUAAACGAUGUCGACUAGUUGUCGGGUCUUAAUUGACUUGGUAACGCAGCUAACGCGUGAAGUCGACCGCCUGGGGAGUACGGUCGCAAGAUUA